GACGAACGCUGGCGGCGUGCCUAAUACAUGCAAGUUGAGCGCGAAAGGCUGGUACUGGUACCGACUGGAUGAGCAGCGAACGGGAGAGUAACGCGUGGGGAAUCUGCCUUGGAGCGGGGGACAACAUUUGGAAACGAAUGCUAAUACCGCAUAAAAACUUUAAACACAAGUUGUAAGUUUGAAAGAUGCAAUUGCAUCACUCAAAGAUGAUCCCGCGUUGUAUUAGCUAGUUGGUGAGGUAAAGGCUCACCAAGGCGAUGAUACAUAGCCGACCUGAGAGGGUGGUCGGCCACAUUGGGACUGAGACACGGCCCAAACUCCUACGGGAGGCAGCAGUAGGGAAUCUUCGGCAAUGGGCGCAAGUCUGACCGCGCAACGCCGCGUGGGUGACGAAGGUUUUCGGGUCGUAAACCUCUGUUGGUAGAGAAGAACGUUGGUGAGAGUGGAAAGCUCCUCAAGUGACGGUAACUACCCAGAAAGCGCCGGCUAACUACGUG
RNAcentral lists this ribosomal RNA (497 nucleotides) under uncultured bacterium. RNAcentral describes it as "partial 16S ribosomal RNA". It matches the Rfam family "Bacterial small subunit ribosomal RNA", at positions 28 to 507 of the family's 1533-position model. The record is from RNAcentral.